Molecule: ribosomal RNA, 1562 nt
Filed under: Escherichia coli
Lineage: Bacteria; Pseudomonadati; Pseudomonadota; Gammaproteobacteria; Enterobacterales; Enterobacteriaceae
Description: partial 23S ribosomal RNA
Rfam family: Bacterial large subunit ribosomal RNA
Source: RNAcentral
CGAAUGCUGACAUAAGUAACGAUAAAGCGGGUGAAAAGCCCGCUCGCCGGAAGACCAAGGGUUCCUGUCCAACGUUAAUCGGGGCAGGGUGAGUCGACCCCUAAGGCGAGGCCGAAAGGCGUAGUCGAUGGGAAACAGGUUAAUAUUCCUGUACUUGGUGUUACUGCGAAGGGGGGACGGAGAAGGCUAUGUUGGCCGGGCGACGGUUGUCCCGGUUUAAGCGUGUAGGCUGGUUUUCCAGGCAAAUCCGGAAAAUCAAGGCUGAGGCGUGAUGACGAGGCACUACGGUGCUGAAGCAACAAAUGCCCUGCUUCCAGGAAAAGCCUCUAAGCAUCAGGUAACAUCAAAUCGUACCCCAAACCGACACAGGUGGUCAGGUAGAGAAUACCAAGGCGCUUGAGAGAACUCGGGUGAAGGAACUAGGCAAAAUGGUGCCGUAACUUCGGGAGAAGGCACGCUGAUAUGUAGGUGAAGUCCCUCGCGGAUGGAGCUGAAAUCAGUCGAAGAUACCAGCUGGCUGCAACUGUUUAUUAAAAACACAGCACUGUGCAAACACGAAAGUGGACGUAUACGGUGUGACGCCUGCCCGGUGCCGGAAGGUUAAUUGAUGGGGUCAGCGCAAGCGAAGCUCUUGAUCGAAGCCCCGGUAAACGGCGGCCGUAACUAUAACGGUCCUAAGGUAGCGAAAUUCCUUGUCGGGUAAGUUCCGACCUGCACGAAUGGCGUAAUGAUGGCCAGGCUGUCUCCACCCGAGACUCAGUGAAAUUGAACUCGCUGUGAAGAUGCAGUGUACCCGCGGCAAGACGGAAAGACCCCGUGAACCUUUACUAUAGCUUGACACUGAACAUUGAGCCUUGAUGUGUAGGAUAGGUGGGAGGCUUUGAAGUGUGGACGCCAGUCUGCAUGGAGCCGACCUUGAAAUACCACCCUUUAAUGUUUGAUGUUCUAACGUGGACCCGUGAUCCGGGUUGCGGACAGUGUCUGGUGGGUAGUUUGACUGGGGCGGUCUCCUCCUAAAGAGUAACGGAGGAGCACGAAGGUUGGCUAAUCCUGGUCGGACAUCAGGAGGUUAGUGCAAUGGCAUAAGCCAGCUUGACUGCGAGCGUGACGGCGCGAGCAGGUGCGAAAGCAGGUCAUAGUGAUCCGGUGGUUCUGAAUGGAAGGGCCAUCGCUCAACGGAUAAAAGGUACUCCGGGGAUAACAGGCUGAUACCGCCCAAGAGUUCAUAUCGACGGCGGUGUUUGGCACCUCGAUGUCGGCUCAUCACAUCCUGGGGCUGAAGUAGGUCCCAAGGGUAUGGCUGUUCGCCAUUUAAAGUGGUACGCGAGCUGGGUUUAGAACGUCGUGAGACAGUUCGGUCCCUAUCUGCCGUGGGCGCUGGAGAACUGAGGGGGGCUGCUCCUAGUACGAGAGGACCGGAGUGGACGCAUCACUGGUGUUCGGGUUGUCAUGCCAAUGGCACUGCCCGGUAGCUAAAUGCGGAAGAGAUAAGUGCUGAAAGCAUCUAAGCACGAAACUUGCCCCGAGAUGAGUUCUCCCUGACCCUUUAAGGGUCCUGAAGG